RNAcentral lists this ribosomal RNA (795 nucleotides) under uncultured bacterium. RNAcentral describes it as "bacterial SSU rRNA". It matches the Rfam family "Bacterial small subunit ribosomal RNA", at positions 1 to 793 of the family's 1533-position model. The record is from RNAcentral.
UAGAGUUUGAUCAUGGUUCAGGAUGAACGCUAGCGGCAGGCUUAACACAUGCAAGUCGAGGGGCAUCGGGAGGGAAGCUUGCUUUCCUUGCCGGCGACCGGCGCACGGGUGAGUAACACGUAUGCAACCUGCCCUCUUCAGGGGGACAACCUUCCGAAAGGGAGGCUAAUCCCGCGUAUAUCGGUUUCGGGCAUCCGAGAUCGAGGAAAGAUUCAUCGGAAGAGGAUGGGCAUGCGGCGCAUUAGCUUGACGGCGAGGUAACGGCCCACCGUGGCGACGAUGCGUAGGGGUUCUGAGAGGAAGGUCCCCCACACUGGUACUGAGACACGGACCAGACUCCUACGGGAGGCAGCAGUGAGGAAUAUUGGUCAAUGGGAGAGAUCCUGAACCAGCCAAGCCGCGUGAGGGAAGACGGCCCUAUGGGUUGUAAACCUCUUUUGUCGGAGAACAAAACCCGGGACGUGUCCCGGACUGCGUGUAUCCGAAGAAAAAGCAUCGGCUAACUCCGUGCCAGCAGCCGCGGUAAUACGGAGGAUGCGAGCGUUAUCCGGAUUUAUUGGGUUUAAAGGGUGCGUAGGCGGUCCGUUAAGUCAGCGGUAAAAUUGCGGGGCUCAACCCCGUCGAGCCGUUGAAACUGGCAGACUUGAGUUGGCGAGAAGUACGCGGAAUGCGCGGUGUAGCGGUGAAAUGCAUAGAUAUCGCGCAGAACUCCGAUUGCGAAGGCAGCGUACCGGCGCCACACUGACGCUGAGGCACGAAAGCGUGGGGAUCGAACAGGAUUAGAUACCCUGGUAG